GGAGCCGGGGCGGAGCCACGGCGCUGGCGGCCCCGGCGGCGGCGGCAGGUGUGGAUGGGGCGAAGGUGCGGGAACGUCCACUCCCGCGCGCCCCUCUCGGGGACCAGGGCGGCCUCCCAGGAGGAGCUUGGUUUCUGGUCCUCAUACCGUGUGGUUGAGUGAAAUCAAAACUUCCACGAUAGCAAUGCUGAUUGGACAAAGAAUGUGUUGUGGACACAAAACCAAACUCUGGAGGACAGAGGAUUCAUUCCAAGGGUCUGCUUGUAUUCAAUGACUGGUCUACGUGGGGGUGUGAAGUCCCCUUACUCCACCUGUGAAGAGUCUUCCCAGUUUCAGACCACCCUCCCAGCCUCCUGUUAUUGGCUAAGGCCAUUUUGUGACUACACUGCAGAUGGAGUCUCAGUCACCAGGCUGGAGUGCAGUGGCACAAUCUCAGCUCACUGCAACCUUCACCUCCUGGGUUCAAGCAAUUCCCCUGCCUCAGCCUCUCGAGUAGCUGGGACUACAGGUGCUCACCACCAUGCCUGGCUAAUUUUUUUUAUUUUAGUAGAGUCGGGGUUUCACCAUGUUGGCCAGGCUGGUCUCGAUCUCCUGAUCUCAUGAUCCACCUGCCUCGGCCUCCCAAAGUGCUGAGAUUAUAGGUUUGAGCCACCAUGACUGGCCGAAUUUUUGUAACUUCUUUUCACAUAGUGGUUUACUGGGUAAGGUGUAUCUUGCUUCUCCUACAUGAUAUUCUUAUUUAUGAUGAAUUAAAACAAAUAAAGAAAAGUAAAAGAAAGGCAAAGGAACCAUAUUGUUCUUCUCCAUAAUUUUCAAGAUUUCAGAUUUUUUGUCUCUCAUUUCAACUUUCCUAGAAAGCAAACCUCAACAAUUGCUUAUAUAUUAAAAACAAAACAAAUAUAAGCCUGAAUAUCAGGAAGUAAGAGAAGUGACUUUCUGCUGACAAAAUAGCAAAACAUAUGUUAGCAAAAUUCAGUGCAGCAAAAUUAGAGACUAGGGACUCUGUCCCAGGGGAAGGAUGAAUGUCAUUGUUGAGGUACACAAAAGCAAGGGAAACGGCUGCUUCUGCCAGAGCCUCACAGAAGAGCAACUCCUGGGUCAAUGGAUUGUCCUCAGCUUUGCAAGACCAGCCACCUGCUCUUCUUUCAUUGAAUGCAGAUGUUAUCACCUCUGAGGUAAGAAAGGAGGAGUCACACCAACCAACUCACAGUAGACUGGCAACAAGACCCCAGUUGCUAGAACACUAGUCCUCUCUGGCAUGAUAAUGAAUAUUAGCCUUGCCUUAGCACCGUACCUAGUUAAAAAAUCCACCCAGGAAAUGAAAAGAUGGCAUUUAGAAACCUGCAAAGAAACAGAAUUUGAUUUCCCAAAAGAUUCUGCUCCUAGUUGUGUUAUAACAAUGGUGAUUUUUUUAAAAGAUAACACCAAAAUUAUUGCAUUAUAACUAUAGGCCUGUGACUGUUUUAAGAUCAUUAAAACUGUUGACCCAAUAACCAUGUUUGGAUUACACUCAUUUUUAUAACUGUCUGGAGAGAAAUAUAAAUCUGAAGGAAUAGAACAAAGACCUAAGGUCAAAACCACAGGGCAAACUGAGAUAAUAGUGAGUCUGGAGGAGUCCAUUAAAAAAACAGAACUGGACAUGAGAUUCAUGAACCAAGGAGAGGCCAUAGCAUGAAAUAAGAAGAGCAGGGAGGGUAAGUUGUCAAGGGAUUCUGGGUUCCACUUCAAAUGCCCAUGUGUUGCUGUCUAUUGUUUUAUAGGGCAAGAGUAGGUGUGCUAUGAGUGAAUUGAACUGACUGACUUUUAAGUUUUUCGUAAAAGUAAACAAAAGACCAUCUAAAUGGAUAUAAGGCAGCAGAUUUUUCUGCCAAUAAAAAAGUCUAAAAAUUAAUGAGCGAUUUCUUAAAUGAAAUAUAUUUAGACCACUUUAAGAACCCAUUAAAUGCGUACUCCUAGAGGCCUAUUUAUUUUUGACUCUUGAGUUGUCUUGAAUAAGCAAAAAGCACCUAAUAUUUUCCAUUUUAAUGCUGUUCUCAUUCCCAAGGAUGACAAAUCAGUUUCUUCCCACCUGGUCAGACUGGACUUUGUGUUGUCUACUGAUGAACCCACUGAAGAUCCUUUUCUUCUCUUUAUCUUUUUAUCCAACAGUUGAGCUGUAAGUGCCAAAAAAAAAUAUUUUGUAUGAGCAAGAUGGAAAAACAUUAUGCACUUCCCACACCACAGCAGUGAAUGCUUUCAAAAGGCUACUUACCAAAGUGAGUCUUCCUUUGACUCCAAAAGCAGCCACAUUGCUUAGUAAGGCUGUCUUUGGCUAUCUAGGAUUGUCAAUUGUUGGCAUCAAAAUGGAUGAUAUUUUCAACCUCUUGCUUCUACAGUGUUUCUGUUUCUUAAGAUUUAAAAGAUGUAAUUUUUAGUUUACAAACAUUUACCAAAAUCAGG
This is a long non-coding RNA of Homo sapiens (human), 2439 nucleotides long. Ensembl annotates it as MIR31 host gene. Its record names the gene MIR31HG. The record is from Ensembl. NCBI's taxonomy places the organism in Eukaryota, Metazoa, Chordata, Mammalia, Primates, Hominidae.